Molecule: ribosomal RNA, 408 nt
Filed under: uncultured bacterium
Lineage: Bacteria
Description: partial 16S ribosomal RNA
Rfam family: Bacterial small subunit ribosomal RNA
Source: RNAcentral
GACGAACGCUGGCGGCGUGCUUAACACAUGCAAGUCGAACGAAGUGGCGAACGGGUGAGUAAUACGUGGGUAACCUGCCCUCCUUUUUGGGAUAAGCCUUGGAAACGGGGUCUAAUACCCAAUAUAGGGGGUUGGGCUCGCGGCCUAUCUGCUUGUUGGUGGGGUGAUGGCCUACCAAGGCGGUGACGGGUAGCCGGGAUGAGAGGGUGAACGGCAACAUUGGGACGGGCAUGAGUCCCAGAGGAGGACGGGGGGGGGCAGAGGGGGAAAUGGGACAAUGGGUGAUGGACUGAUGCAGCGUCGCCGAGGGGGGGAUGAGGGUUGUCGAGUUGUAAAAGUGUUGCGCUAGGGAACGGGUAGGUGGAGAAGAAGCGCCGGCUAACUACGUGCCAGCAGCCGCGGUAAUUC